UAGGAGCUGGGCUGGAGGUGAUAAGAUGG
RNAcentral lists this non-coding RNA (29 nucleotides) under Mus musculus (house mouse). The record is from RNAcentral. Lineage: Eukaryota; Metazoa; Chordata; Mammalia; Rodentia; Muridae.